CCACUACGGACAAGACAACAGUCACAACCACACCAUCAGAGGAUUUGACAACUGUACCCACUACGGACAAGACAACAGUCACAACAACACCAUCAGAGGAUUUGACAACUGUACCCACUACGGACAAGACAACAGUCACAACCACACCAUCAGAGGAUUUGACAACUGUACCCACUACGGACAAGACAACAGUCA
Long non-coding RNA from Anneissia japonica, 195 nucleotides. RefSeq lists it as uncharacterized. The record is from RefSeq and is a predicted model, not a curated record. The transcript is spliced from 4 exons. NCBI's taxonomy places the organism in Eukaryota, Metazoa, Echinodermata, Crinoidea, Comatulida, Comatulidae.